RNAcentral lists this long non-coding RNA (224 nucleotides) under Malus domestica (apple). RNAcentral describes it as "long non-coding RNA (MDOM_LNC008866)". Lineage: Eukaryota; Viridiplantae; Streptophyta; Magnoliopsida; Rosales; Rosaceae. The record is from RNAcentral.
UUCGGCUUCUCCGGUGCUCCGUCACCCCUAUAGUUGUUUGGGCUUUGUUCCACACCUCAAUAGGAUGCUAUAGGUAGUGGUAAUUGAAGGAAUUUGUUUCCAAUUUGGGGGAUUGACCUCUAUGAACCCGCACACUCACCAGUGCGAUUUCCCCAAUUUCAAGGCUAUUUUGUAUGGAAUUUGGGGUAGAAUAGGUAGAGGGGAUGAUGAGAAAUCAUUUCCAA